GUGCAAUUUGUCUUUGCAUCAUGUAAUUUUCAAUUGUCUGAAUUAAUUAUUACAUUUUGUAAACCAGUGAUUUUAUUGACUAAUGUUAAAUAAUUGUUAUAAUCUUAAUAUAUUCAAACCACUAAAAUAAAUUCUUGGCUUCCUGAUUGCAUGCUAAAAUUUCUUCCUGACAGUAACCUCUAACAUUAGCCUCCGGUCUCAAAAGGUUCAUGAUAUAAAAUUUUGACAAUGGAACAUUUGGUUAUGGGCUUUAGAAUGACGUGUCCAUUGUUCCUCUUCUUUUUACACGUCAGGGGGCAUUGGUAGGGUCAUCUUCAUUUGAGUAAGGGUAAAAUCCUCAUAUAGUACCCAAAUUAUCACGAAAUGCACUUUUUAGUACCUACAAAUUUCCAGGGAGUCCAGUGGUACUUGUACUAUCCCUCCGUUAGCCUUUUUAGUACCUCUGUCCAUUAUUCCGUUAAAAAUGUUUAUGUGGCGGUCAUGUGACACUUAUUUAUAUGUAUUGGUUUUGGAAUCAACGGAUAAGUGUCAAGCUGGGUUGUUGCUGACUGGGGAAUAAAGGGCAGUAAAG
Molecule: long non-coding RNA, 571 nt
Filed under: Rosa chinensis
Lineage: Eukaryota; Viridiplantae; Streptophyta; Magnoliopsida; Rosales; Rosaceae
Description: sRNA RchiOBHm_Chr7g0223181
Source: RNAcentral